Corvus hawaiiensis (hawaiian crow) is the source of this 257-nucleotide long non-coding RNA. RefSeq lists it as uncharacterized. The transcript is spliced from 3 exons. The record is from RefSeq and is a predicted model, not a curated record. Lineage: Eukaryota; Metazoa; Chordata; Aves; Passeriformes; Corvidae.
GACCAGCACACAGUUGGUGUGCUGACAAUUCUCUGCUUUAUUCUGCUGCACUACAUGGAGCCAGAGUCCAAAUGAUGAGAGGGAUCCUAGACCAUGUGGGCUUUGAGAAUGGACUGAUGAGGAACUUGACAUGAUCCCACCUGAAAGAACAUGUAAGGCUCUUGCUGCUGCCACCUUCCUGGAUAUUCACCUCUGUUACCAUCACAAACACACGGACACCAGGCGUAAAGUGCUCCAGCUGAGACCCAUCCUUGUCC